GAUGAACGCUGGCGGCGUGCCUAAUACAUGCAAGUCGAGCGAACAGACGAGGAGCUUGCUCCUCUGACGUUAGCGGCGGACGGGUGAGUAACACGUGGAUAACCUACCUAUAAGACUGGGAUAACUUCGGGAAACCGGAGCUAAUACCGGAUAAUAUAUUGAACCGCAUGGUUCAAUAGUGAAAGACGGUUUUGCUGUCACUUAUAGAUGGACCCGCGCCGCAUUAGCUAGUUGGUAAGGUAACGGCUUACCAAGGCAACGAUGCGUAGCCGACCUGAGAGGGUGAUCGGCCACACUGGAACUGAGACACGGUCCAGACUCCUACGGGAGGCAGCAGUAGGGAAUCUUCCGCAAUGGGCGAAAGCCUGACGGAGCAACGCCGCGUGAGUGAUGAAGGUCUUCGGAUCGUAAAACUCUGUUAUUAGGGAAGAACAAAUGUGUAAGUAACUAUGCACGUCUUGACUGUACCUAAUCAGAAAGCCACGGCUAACUACGU
RNAcentral lists this ribosomal RNA (496 nucleotides) under uncultured bacterium. Its description in RNAcentral is "partial 16S ribosomal RNA". It matches the Rfam family "Bacterial small subunit ribosomal RNA", at positions 28 to 506 of the family's 1533-position model. The record is from RNAcentral.